AGCGAACGCUGGCGGCAGGCCUAACACAUGCAAGUCGAACGAACCUUUCGGGGAUAGUGGCGGACGGGUGAGUAACACGUGGGAACGUGCCUUUAGGUUCGGAAUAACUCAGGGAAACUUGUGCUAAUACCGAAUGUGCCCUCCGGGGGAAAGAUUAAUCGCCUUUUGAGCGGACCGCGUCUGAUUAGCUAGUUGGUUGAGGUAAUGGCUCACCAAGGCGACGAUCAGUAGCUGGUCUGAGAGGAUGAUCAGCAACAUUGGGACUGAGACACGGCGCAAACUCCUACGGGAGGCAGUAGUGGGGAAUCUUGCGCAAUGGGCGAAAGCCUGACGCAGCCAUGCCGCGUGAAUGAUGAAGGUCUUAGGAUUGUAAAAUUCUUUUACCGGGGACGAUAAUGACGGUACCCGGAGAAGAAGCCCCGGCUAACUUCGUG
RNAcentral lists this ribosomal RNA (434 nucleotides) under uncultured bacterium. Its description in RNAcentral is "partial 16S ribosomal RNA". It matches the Rfam family "Bacterial small subunit ribosomal RNA", at positions 29 to 507 of the family's 1533-position model. The record is from RNAcentral.